This 450-nucleotide ribosomal RNA is filed under the name uncultured bacterium. RNAcentral describes it as "partial 16S ribosomal RNA". It matches the Rfam family "Bacterial small subunit ribosomal RNA", at positions 354 to 796 of the family's 1533-position model. The record is from RNAcentral.
GUGGGGAAUAUUGGACAAUGGGCGAAAGCCUGAUCCAGCCAUGCCGCGUGUGUGAAGAAGGUCUUUGGAUUGUAAAGCACUUUAAGUUGGGAGGAAGGGUAGUAACCUAAUACGUUGCUACUUUGACGUUACCGACAGAAUAAGCACCGGCUAACUUCGUGCCAGCAGCCGCGGUAAUACGAAGGGUGCAAGCGUUAAUCGGAAUUACUGGGCGUAAAGCGCGCGUAGGUGGUUCAGUAAGUUGGAAGUGAAAUCCCCGGGCUCAACCUGGGAACUGCUUUCAAAACUGCUGAGCUAGAGUACGGUAGAGGGUGGUGGAAUUUCCUGUGUAGCGGUGAAAUGCGUAGAUAUAGGAAGGAACACCAGUGGCGAAGGCGACCACCUGGACUGAUACUGACACUGAGGUGCGAAAGCGUGGGGAGCAAACAGGAUUAGAUACCCGUGUAGUCC